Long non-coding RNA from Myzus persicae (green peach aphid), 490 nucleotides. RefSeq lists it as uncharacterized. The record is from RefSeq and is a predicted model, not a curated record. The transcript has 3 exons. NCBI's taxonomy places the organism in Eukaryota, Metazoa, Arthropoda, Insecta, Hemiptera, Aphididae.
CUAUAUAUACCGACAUCCUUGGUCGCCAUGAUAUACUGCGGGACGGUCCGCGAACGGUGUAACGACGUUUAUUGAUUUAUAUAUUUUUAUUCAUAAUAAUAUUGUGAACGUGUGGACGGGUACCGAACACGAUUUUCGAUUACCCGGGUGAUUUUUUUUUUAAUAAAAGGAAACAAAAUAUAUCGAUUUAUUUUCCGGACGCUCUUUCAUGUUGUACCACCGGUCAUCAGGCAAUGAUGUAGAGCUAACCUGAAGACAUCUUAUGGAUUGGUGUGUCAUAUUUGAGCAAACGCCGAAGGAAUCAAUCGAUCAAUUAAGAAAAAAAAGAAAACCUACCCUCAAAUCUCAAAUGCUGUCAAAAAGAAAAAGAAAUUUAAACAUUCCUUUCAAAAUGAAAAAAUGAAAUGGAGGAUAUCAUCAAAUAAGUUGAAGACCCAUUUAAUUUAAAAAUAAUUUCUGAUAAGAAUUUAUCAACUUAACUUUCUUUUUU